Molecule: ribosomal RNA, 253 nt
Filed under: uncultured bacterium
Lineage: Bacteria
Description: partial 16S ribosomal RNA
Rfam family: Bacterial small subunit ribosomal RNA
Source: RNAcentral
UACGUAGGGGGCAAGCGUUGUCCGGAAUCAUUGGGCGUAAAGCGCGUGUAGGCGGCUUGGUAAGUCUGCUCUGAAAGCCCGGGGCUCAACCCCGGGAGGCGGGUGGAUACUGUCAAGCUCGAGUCCGGAAGAGGCGUGUGGAAUUCCGGGUGUAGUGGUGAAAUGCGUAGAGAUCCGGAGGAACACCAGUGGCGAAGGCGACACGCUGGGCCGUACCUGACACUAAAACGCGACAGCAUGGGGAGCGAAUGGG